Molecule: ribosomal RNA, 500 nt
Filed under: uncultured bacterium
Lineage: Bacteria
Description: partial 16S ribosomal RNA
Rfam family: Bacterial small subunit ribosomal RNA
Source: RNAcentral
AUUGAACGCUGGCGGAAUGCUUUACACAUGCAAGUCGAACGAUGAACCUUAGCUUGCUAAGGGGAUUAGUGGCGAACGGGUGAGUAAUGUAUCGGAACGUAUCCAAUAAUGGGGGAUAACUAGUCGAAAGAUUAGCUAAUACCGCAUACGUCCUACGGGAGAAAGCUAGGGACCUUCGGGCCUGGCGUUAAUGGAGCGGCCGAUAUCUGAUUAGCUAGUUGGUGGGGUAAAGGCUCACCAAGGCGACGAUCAGUAGCUGGUCUGAGAGGACGACCAGCCACACUGGAACUGAGACACGGUCCAGACUCCUACGGGAGGCAGCAGUGGGGAAUUUUGGACAAUGGGCGAAAGCCUGAUCCAGCCAUUCCGCGUGAGUGAAGAAGGCCUUCGGGUUGUAAAGCUCUUUCGCAAGGGAAGAAAACUUAAGCUCUAACAUAGCCUGAGGUUGACGGUACCUUGAUAAGAAGCACCGGCUAACUAUGUGCCAGCCGCCGCCGUAA